This 440-nucleotide ribosomal RNA is filed under the name uncultured bacterium. Its description in RNAcentral is "partial 16S ribosomal RNA". It matches the Rfam family "Bacterial small subunit ribosomal RNA", at positions 338 to 795 of the family's 1533-position model. The record is from RNAcentral.
CCUACGGGCGGCAGCAGUGGGGAAUAUUGCACAAUGGGGGAAACUCUGAUGCAGCGACGCCGCGUGCGUGAAGAAGUAAUUCGGUAUGUAAAGCUCUAUCAGCAGGGAAGAAAAUGACGGUACCUGAGUAAGAAGCCCCGGCUAACUACGUGCCAGCAGCCGCGGUAAUACGUAGGGGGAAAGCGUUAUCCGGAUUUACUGGGUGUAAAGGGAGCGUAGACGGCAGUGCAAGUCUGGAGUGAAAGGCGGGGGCUCAACCCUCGGACUGCUCUGGAAACUGUACGGCUGGAGUGCAGGAGCGGAAAGUGGAAUUCCUGGUGUAGCGGUGAAAUGCGUAGAUAUUAGGAGGAACACCAGUGGCGAAGGCGGCUUACUGGACUGUAACUGACGUUGAGGCUCGAAAGCGUGGGGAGCAAACAGGAUUAGAUACCCGAGUAGUC